GCAGCAGGCUGUUCUAUCGCUCUUCUGUUUUGCAGAAGGGAGGAAAGUCCGGACAACACAGAGCACCGCACUUCCUAACGGGAAGAUGUCCGCGAGGGCAUAGUACCGGAACAGAAAACAACCGUCCCGACCUGUCGGGAUAAGGGUGAAAAGGUGGGGUAAGAGCCCACCGGUGCCGGGGGUGACUCCGGCAGCCGUUCGGCUUGCGGGUUGAAAGACCACGUAUACCGGCGUUUCAGGGUUGCUCGCCCGAUGCCGGGGGGUGGGUCGAUCGAGCGCUUUGGUGACAAAGCGCCCAGAUAAAUGAUAGAAACCCGGACACGCCUUUCAGAGGCAUUUACCGGGAACAGAAUCCGGCUUACAGGCCUGCUGCUUUU
Molecule: RNase P RNA, 377 nt
Filed under: Chlorobiota bacterium
Lineage: Bacteria; Pseudomonadati; Chlorobiota
Description: Chlorobiota bacteirum RNase P RNA component class A
Rfam family: Bacterial RNase P class A
About the family: Ribonuclease P (RNase P) is a ubiquitous endoribonuclease, found in archaea, bacteria and eukarya as well as chloroplasts and mitochondria. Its best characterised activity is the generation of mature 5'-ends of tRNAs by cleaving the 5'-leader elements of precursor-tRNAs.
Source: RNAcentral